UGGGGAAUCUUGCGCAAUGGGCGAAAGCCUGACGCAGCGACGCCGCGUGAGUGAUGAAGGCCUUCGGGUUGUAAAGCUCUGUGGAGAGGGACGAAUAAGGGCUGGCCAACAUCCAGCUUGAUGACGGUACCUCUUUAGCAAGCACCGGCUAACUCUGUGCCAGCAGCCGCGGUAAGACAGAGGGUGCAAACGUUGUUCGGAAUUACUGGGCGUAAAGCGCGUGUAGGCUGCUUCGAAAGUCGGAUGUGAAAGCCCUGGGCUCAACCUAGGAAGUGCAUUCGAAACUUCGAAGCUGGAGUCCUGGAGAGGAAGGCGGAAUUCUCGGUGUAGAGGUGAAAUUCGUAGAUAUCGAGAGGAACACCGGUGGCGAAGGCGGCCUUCUGGACAGUGACUGACGCUGAGACGCGAAAGCGUGGGGAGCAAACA
RNAcentral lists this ribosomal RNA (426 nucleotides) under uncultured Minicystis sp. RNAcentral's name for it is "bacterial SSU rRNA". It matches the Rfam family "Bacterial small subunit ribosomal RNA", at positions 355 to 774 of the family's 1533-position model. The record is from RNAcentral. Lineage: Bacteria; Pseudomonadati; Myxococcota; Polyangiales; Polyangiaceae.